AUUGUGUUGAUAUGUGCUUAUGGAGGCUCGUUGUCAACAGUUCAGCUACAGCUGAAUUCGUUGGAGAAAAUGUGAAAGGGGCAUGCAGCCUACUGUCAACUAUUGUAUUGUAAAUCCUGGGAUCCACUGAAUGUGUCAUCCAAAUGACAGAAGAAAGCUAUGGGAGCAUAAUGAAGGCCAUGGGUAAUCUUCAUCAGGUUUAUUGCAGCAACUAGAGAGAAUUCACAUGAAAAGAUGCAGGGCACAUACCAUUAUGGGUCGAUAUCUGAAUGUUUUACUCAAGAAAUAGAUGUGACAUGACUGUUUAGUGUUUAAUGCCAAAGUUAAGUUGGAACUCUAACUUAAACACAGAUAACGCAUUGCUGCUGCCUUACAGCCACUGGCAGGAAAAUUAUUCUUUUAUUCAGAAAAUUGGAAAGCUGCUGAAGUAAUCCCCACUUGAUUCAUUUCGUGUCAGCUAGUGAAAGGCGUCACGAAUUCAAAUUUGGCUGCUGCGUGCUGUCUGCAAGCAAGCAAUCCAAUUGGCGGUCGCUAGGUGGCGCGAGUGUCUUCAGGGACCAAAGUCUGCCAUUUUGAUCCAUGACACAGCAGAAGUGGGAUGCCGGUGUGAAGUUUCGCAUGAUGAAAAUUUCAAUACCAAUUUGUCAAAUCAUCUAACUCGGACUUGAGUGCCUGUUCAUUUUGCCGAAAUGUCGUGCCUCGUGUGUCUUGCUGCCUGUAUCUGUACGUCUCGUCCCAUGCAAAAGCAAAAGUCCGCUGUUGGUUACCUUGUUGCAGCCUGAUGGUGUAAGAUGUGAUGAAGACUAAUUGAACUGUGGUUCCAGUGUUAUUCAGAAGUAGCUGGCGGUCUCCUGGAGUAGCCUGAAGUAGCCUGAAGUUGCCAGUGGUAUCCGGGUUGCUGACUUUAAAUAUUUUUCUCUGUUCUCAUUUGUGUAUUUUGCCCUGCCAGUCAUCCCGUGUUGCUGACUUGAAAUAUUUUUAUCCAUUUUUAUUUGUGGUUUUGCUCUGCCAGUGAGCAAAAUGGUUGAAUUGGUUUCAUCUGUUGUCUUUUUGUUUUACUUGGGCAGUAUACGAUUGUGGCAAACUGAUUCUAUGUCAGUUUUGAUACAGUCGACAACUGCUAGAUUAAAUUCCGGCUUUCUGCACCAACAAAAUAAUAACGGCACAUGUUAU
Molecule: long non-coding RNA, 1173 nt
Filed under: Daphnia pulex (common water flea)
Lineage: Eukaryota; Metazoa; Arthropoda; Branchiopoda; Diplostraca; Daphniidae
Description: uncharacterized LOC124209607, transcript variant X7
Source: RNAcentral